UUUAAGUGCAAUCAUAAGUUUAGUUUUCGUGUCCAACUUUAAUUGUCCGUCUUAUUUAAUUUUUUUAAUAAUUAGUAUUUCGUUGUUAUGAGAUAAUAAAACAUGAAUAGUACUUUACAUGUGACUUAUGUUUUUAUUUUUAAAAAAAAUUAAAUAAGACGAACGGUCAAAAUCGUGCACGGAAAAUCAUAACCGCACUUAAA
This is a non-coding RNA of Oryza glumipatula, 203 nucleotides long. The record is from Rfam. NCBI's taxonomy places the organism in Eukaryota, Viridiplantae, Streptophyta, Magnoliopsida, Poales, Poaceae.